GUUACAGGGACAGAUGAGCACACACGUCUGCUUAUCCGCUGGAGGGUGGCUCAUGAAGCCCUCUUCACCGGAAAGCAGAAUGCUGCCAUCAAAGGCUUUGAAUCUUUUGUGGCGGAGCAGAGGAUGCAAGGAAAGAUGAUGGAGGCAUUUGUUGGGGAAAAAAAGGUUUUAGGGAUUUUACUAAAAUAUAAAGAUCUGAAAUGUCUGCAGACUGAUGUGAGCCCUGAAGAUGAGGAGCCCAGAGCUGAAUCCUGGAAACGGUGCCAUGGAUGAGACCCUCCAUCACUCCACCUGCCCU
Long non-coding RNA from Rhinichthys klamathensis goyatoka, 298 nucleotides. RefSeq lists it as uncharacterized. The transcript has 3 exons. The record is from RefSeq and is a predicted model, not a curated record. Lineage: Eukaryota; Metazoa; Chordata; Actinopteri; Cypriniformes; Leuciscidae.